GAUUAAGAGAAAUAAGGGCACACGGUGGAUGCCUAGGUAAUAAGAGCCGAUGAAGGACGUGGUAAGCUGCGAUAAGCCUGGAGUAGUUGCAAUCGAACUUUGAUCCCAGGAUUUCCCAAUGGAGAAAUCCGCUAAGACUUCAUCUUAGCAG
Molecule: ribosomal RNA, 151 nt
Filed under: Acinetobacter baumannii
Lineage: Bacteria; Pseudomonadati; Pseudomonadota; Gammaproteobacteria; Moraxellales; Moraxellaceae
Description: partial 23S ribosomal RNA
Rfam family: Bacterial large subunit ribosomal RNA
Source: RNAcentral